Molecule: ribosomal RNA, 253 nt
Filed under: uncultured bacterium
Lineage: Bacteria
Description: partial 16S ribosomal RNA
Rfam family: Bacterial small subunit ribosomal RNA
Source: RNAcentral
AACGUAGGACGCAAGCGUUAUCCGGAGUUACUGGGCGUAAAGCGCGAGCAGGCGGCUCGACAAGUUCGAUGUGAAAGCGCCCGGCUCAACCGGGCGAGGCCAUUGGAGACUAUCGAGCUGGAGGGCAGUAGAGGCAGGCGGAAUUCCGGGUGGAGUGGUGAAAUGCGUAGAGAUCCGGAGGAACACCAGAGGCGAAGGCGGCCUGCUGGGCUGCACCUGACGCUGAGCCGCGAAAGCCAGGGGAGCGAACGGG